UGGGGAAUUUUGGACAAUGGGCGCAAGCCUGAUCCAGCCAUGCCGCGUGCGGGAAGAAGGCCUUCGGGUUGUAAACCGCUUUUGUCAGGGAAGAAAUCUUCUGAGUUAAUACCUCGGGAGGAUGACGGUACCUGAAGAAUAAGCACCGGCUAACUACGUGCCAGCAGCCGCGGUAAUACGUAGGGUGCAAGCGUUAAUCGGAAUUACUGGGCGUAAAGCGUGCGCAGGCGGUUUUGUAAGACAGAGGUGAAAUCCCCGGGCUCAACCUGGGAACUGCCUUUGUGACUGCAAGGCUUGAGUGCGGCAGAGGGGGAUGGAAUUCCGCGUGUAGCAGUGAAAUGCGUAGAUAUGCGGAGGAACACCGAUGGCGAAGGCAAUCCCCUGGGCCUGCACUGACGCCCAUGCACGAAAGCGUGGGGAGCAAACAGGAUUAGAUACCCUGGUAGUCCACGCCCUAAACGAUGUCAACUGGUUGUUGGGAAGGUUCCUUCUCAGUAACGUAGCUAACGCGUGAAGUUGGACCGCCUGGGGAGUACGGCCGCAAGGUUGAAGCUCAAAGGAAUUGACGGGGUCAUAGCUGUUUCCU
RNAcentral lists this ribosomal RNA (586 nucleotides) under uncultured bacterium. RNAcentral describes it as "partial 16S ribosomal RNA". It matches the Rfam family "Bacterial small subunit ribosomal RNA", at positions 355 to 1375 of the family's 1533-position model. The record is from RNAcentral.